Molecule: transfer RNA, 73 nt
Filed under: Elusimicrobia bacterium GWA2_66_18
Lineage: Bacteria; Pseudomonadati; Elusimicrobiota
Also listed under: 2 other names
Description: tRNA-Thr
Rfam family: tRNA
About the family: Transfer RNA (tRNA) molecules are approximately 80 nucleotides in length. Their secondary structure includes four short double-helical elements and three loops (D, anti-codon, and T loops).
Source: RNAcentral
GCUGGGAUAGCUCAGUUGGUAGAGCAUCUCCAUGGUAAGGAGAAGGUCGUGGGUUCGACUCCCAUUCCCAGCU